This 482-nucleotide ribosomal RNA is filed under the name uncultured soil bacterium. RNAcentral describes it as "bacterial SSU rRNA". It matches the Rfam family "Bacterial small subunit ribosomal RNA", at positions 26 to 518 of the family's 1533-position model. The record is from RNAcentral.
AGGACGAACGCUGGCGGCGUGCUUAACACAUGCAAGUCGAACGGAAAGGCCCUGCUUUUGUGGGGUGCUCGAGUGGCGAACGGGUGAGUAACGCGUGAGUAACCUGCCCUUGACUUUGGGAUAACUUCAGGAAACUGGGGCUAAUACCGGAUAGGAGCUCCUGCUGCAUGGUGGGGGUUGGAAAGUUUCGGCGGUUGGGGAUGGACUCGCGGCUUAUCAGCUUGUUGGUGGGGUAGUGGCUUACCAAGGCUUUUGACGGGUAGCCGGCCUGAGAGGGUGACCGGCCACAUUGGGACUGAGAUACGGCCCAGACUCCUACGGGAGGCAGCAGUGGGGAAUAUUGCACAAUGGGCGGAAGCCUGAUGCAGCAACGCCGCGUGCGGGAUGACGGCCUUCGGGUUGUAAACCGCUUUCGCCUGUGACGAAGCGUGAGUGACGGUAAGUGGUAAAGAAGCACCGGCUAACUACGUGCCAGCAGUCGC